UUCACCUUGUGGUGUAAAAUGAAUCUUUUGGAAAUCCAACAAGUGCUUUUGAGGUGCAUUGUGAACUGAGGGUGGUGUAGUGAAUAACAAAACAGUAUGGCUUCCUUUCACUUUCUUGACAUUUUGAACUUUCAAGUGGAUAUCAUCAACAAUAGAGAGGAAAAAACUCUUUUUAUCAUGAGUAGGAGUCUUGUAAGGAUCCCAUACAUCAAGAUGUAUCAAUUCUAAGGAAAAUGACUUCUAGAGAAGCUAGUUGGAAAUACCAAUCUACUUUGCUUAGCUAAUGGACAUACUGGGCAAUCUGUAGUUGCAAAACUAUUUGAGUCUGUUUUCUAAAUCAACCCAAGUCUCUUCAUGACUUGUAAUGAAGGAUGACCUAGUCUUUGGUGCCAAAGUUCAGUAUCCCCUGCUUUAACUGAAGAAAGUUUGGCACUAUUAGUUGAGUACACAUCAUGAGACUUGACAAUGUACAAGAUUCCUUCCUCUUUACCAAUCCCCCUCACCCUACCAUUGUAAAGAUUCUGAAAUAUACAAAAGUUAGGGAAAAUGUGACAGAGCAGGACAUGCUCUUGGUUAGUUUGGAAACUGAUAUCAAGUUGAAUUUAAAGUCUGGGACACAUAAAACAUUGUCAACCUUCAGGCCUUCUAGGAACUCAGUAAUUUUCUAUAUGAGUGAUAUUAGACUUUCCACCAUUUGGUAAGUGAAUCUGUUGAUUACUAGAACAGUGAAUCUCAAUUGGAUCAUUUAGCAUGCCCAGAUUAGAUGCAACAUGAUGAGUGGCACCAGAAUCUAUGAUCCAUUCCUUUGAACUUUGAAGAGAAUGCAGUUAAUAGAGAUGUAACAGUACCUGCCAGGUUGUGCUGGUCUAUAUGCUCAUUCUUAUCAUUCAUCAUUUCCUGAAUCUGCUUGUAUUGUUCAUCUGAAAACAUAGGACCACUUCUCCCAUAUAAUUGUUCCAGUUGUUUGUAUUGUUCAUCUGUGAAGGCCUGAUUACCAGCUCCAUUCUUCAUUGAGCAGCUCCCUUCAUUUUCAACUGCAUAGUGUCUCCUAUCAUCACUCACAACAUUAUUUGCAUUGAAGUUCUCCUAUCUCUCAAAAUGUGGAUUGUAUUGUUUGUUGUUAUUAUUUGCAGCAUAGUUCUUCUUCCUGAAGUCAUCAUCAGGAACCCUUUUUUGUUCUUCUGGACGACCAAUUAACCAGUAGCAAUCUGCUUUCACGUGUCCUCCUCGUCCACAAUUAUCACACUUGACAAAGGGCUUCUUACCUCUAUAAGGUUGGCCUCUAUUGAUUUUCAAGGCAAGAGGUUCAUGGACAUGAUCUUUGGCUUUCAUCUUCUCUAAGCAUUGCAUAUGCUUGAUUUAGUGAUGGUUCAACAGUUUUGAGCAACAAUUGCCUGCGUACUUGCUCAUAAGAGUCAUUCAAACCAUUAAGAAACUGCAGUAAUCUCUGGCCCUGUAAGUGUUUAAUGUAAUCCCUAGAUUUCACGUAAUUACAUCCAGGUGUGGGAACCACAUCAUCAUAUUCAGCCCAAAGUUCUCUCAGACUUGUAAAAUACGUAGAUACAGAAUCAGUUACUUGUGAUAUCGUCGCGAUCUCUUGAUGUAACUGGAAAAUUCAAAUUCUAUUUACCUUAUCGAAUCUCUUCUUCAGAUCCUCUCAUACAAGAUGCGCAUUUGACGAAUACACGAUCCUACUAAGAAGAUGUGCAGAAACUGUAUUCAUGAUCCUGGACAGGACAAUUGCAUUGCAGGUCUCCCAAUCUUCAUGUAGAUCAGUACCGAAUUGAUCCUUCUUACAGGUCCCAUUAACAAAUCCCAAUUUUCUUUUUGCUAGCAAGGCAAUCGUCAUAGAUCGUCUCCGUAACCCGUAAUUUUUAGAUCCGGUUAAUUUUGUGGGAAUUAACACUGAUUCUGGAGUAUCUGACGGAUGAACAAACAAUAAAUGAAUGUGUAUUAUUAAUUUUCUCAGCAGUUACCUGAGUCUGUCGAUCUUCAGCUGCUUUUGUUCAUGAGUUUCCAGCCAUUUGUAAUCGCAAUUGAAAAUCCUAUUUGAUUUGAGCGUAUGAUCCAAGUCACGACUGCUCUGAUACCAUGUCAAUUUUCAUACUUAGCUUGUGAGUUCAAGCUCUAUUUUAAUUUUGUGGGAAUUAACACUGAUUCUGGAGUAUCUGGCGAAUGAACAAACAAUGAAUGAAUGUGUAUUAUUGAUUUUCUCAGCAGUUACCUGAGUCUGUCGAUCUUCAACUGCUUUUGUUCAUGAGUUUCCAGCCAUUUGUAAUCGCAAUUGAAAAUCCUAUUUGAUUUAAGCGUAUGAUCCAAGUCACGACUGCUCUGAUACCAUGUCAGUUUUCAUACUUAGCUUGUGAGUUCAAGAUCUAUUAAUGGCGGAAGUGUGUUUGAGAGAAGAUAAAAAGGAGAAUAUUAUUUCGUAUUGGUCUAACUCUUCUGUACAACCACAUGCAAGUAUUUAUAGUGUGAUCAACUAAUCAUCACCACUAGAUACAGCUCAGCAUCAAAGUCAGUUAUUAGUCUAACUAACUUUGAUCUUCCACUAACUAAGGCUAACAACUAAUUAACAAAAAAGGUCAGCCUAACUAACUAACUAACUUCCUUCAAUACGGAUAUAUUGAUUGUUUUGGUAAACAACUGUAAAAGAUUACCAUUACCAUCAAAAUUCGUACAAAUAAAGAGCACCUAUGCCUUGUAACAAGGAUUAGGCCUCCUACAAAGCAAAAAACUUAAUUACAAAGUAAAAGUUGAACAAAACUCCUACAACUCUGUGUUUUCUUUGAACUACUAAGAAAUUAUAAUCUCUCUAUAAUCUCCUUUUUGAUCUGUGUUGCCGCCUCCUUUAUAUGUACAGACUUGCCUUUGAACUUUUUCCAAUUCCUGGCUCUCCAUAUGUGAUAUACGAUUGCUCCACAAGUAGCCGCAAUAGUCUCCUUCUUAACUUUCUUCCAGUGCUUCAACCUUAUUCUUUCCAGUGUCUGCUUGAUCCCAUUGAUUUGCAACGCUAUUCCUGUCCAUUUUUCCACCUCUUUCCAUAUAGCCUGUGCCCACUCACACUUCACAAAUAAGUGUAUUGUAGUCUCCAUGACCUUCUUAUCACAAAGGCAGCAAUCAGUGUCCUCCACCUGAAUGUGUAAUUUCAGUUUCCUCUCCUGCGUGAGUAAUCUUCCUUGUACAGCCAACCACGUUAUGAAUCUAUGUUUAGGUAGAGCCAUAGAUGUCCACGCUAGCUCAGCAGUUCUCAUACGUGGUUGUUGGCCAAUCAGUGCUAAGUAACUGCUAGUGAUGGAAUAUUUUCCAGUUUGUGUGAGCAUGUAUCUUCCUUGGUUAUACCAACCCCGCAUUUGGACCUUGAUUGCAUUUAGCUGCCUCCAAUACCAGCUACAAUCUACAGGUGUAUUAUGUUUCCAUAUUGUUGCUCCAUCUUUCAUAUAUAUCCCAUGUAUCCACUUUACCCAUAGGGACUCCUUUUCCUCAAUUAUUGCCAUAACAAUUUCCUACUGAUGCAAUAUUCCAGAUGCUGCUACUUUUGAUAUUUAAUCCACCUUGUCUCUUUGGAUAACAGAUUUUUUCCCAAGAUACUAGAGCUAUCUUUCUCUUAUCAUUAGCUUUGCUCCACAAGUAAGUCCUACAAAUCUUGUCUACUUCUUUAAGUAUGCUUUGGGGUAGGAUAAACACUGCCCCCCAAAAACUAUGGAUGGAAAAUAAUACUGCAUUUAUCACCUGCAGUCUACCAGCAUAGGAUAGUUGUUUUGAAUAAGUCACGGUAAUUCUGUGAGUAAUCUUAUCAAUCAGUAAGAAGCAAUCAACUUUAUUCCACUUUCUUGGCGAUAGUGGAAGUCCCAAAUAUUUAAUAGGAAAUUCACCCCUCGAGAAACCGGUUCUAGCCAAGAUCUGAUCCCUUGUUUCCUCAUCCACACCAGCCAUAAAAACACUUGAUUUUUCCAUGUUAGCCUCCAAACCUGUGGCAGCACUAAAGAGAUUUAAUGCCUCCAUCACUCUAUUUACUGAAGCCAAAUUUCCUUUACAAAAAAUCAUUAAGUCAUCAGCAAAUAUUAGAUGAGUGAGUUUCAACUCUUUGCACAUUGGAUGGAGUCCAAAAUCAGGCAACAGACUCAUUGUUUUAAGUGUUCUUGACAAGUACUCCAUUACUAACACAAACAACAAAGGCGAUAUAGGAUCUCCUUGCUUAAGACCUCUCUUACCAGCAAAGAAACCAUGAUUCCCUCCAUUGACUUUUACUGAAAACAUUGUAGUGGAAACACAUAGCAUAGUCCACUUAAUAAACUUUUCUGGAAACCCAAAACCUCUAAGUACUUCCUCUAAAACCUCCCAACUUACCAUGUCAUAGGCUUUCUUCAAAUCAAUUUUCAUAAGACACCUAGGUGAGGCAUUCUUCCUAUUGUAGUGUCUUAGAAUAUCGUGACAAAUCAAAACAUUAUGCAUCAUUGCUCUUCCCUGGACAAAUGCUGAUUGGUUUUUUGCUACUAUCAGAUUCACUGCUUUCUUCAAUCUGCUACAAAUCAAUUUUGAUAUGCACUUGUAUAUGACAUUACAACAAGAUAUUGGUCUAAAUUGACUGGCAAAUUCAGGUACCUCUAUCUUUGGGAUGAGUGCAAUACUUGUUGAAUUGAUUUGUCUUAGUAACUUGCUGUUUUGGAAGAAUUCCAGCACUGGCGUAGUAACAUCUUGCCCCACAAUAGACCAAGCUGCUUUGUAAAAUCCACUACUAAAUCCAUCUGGUCCAGGACUUUUAUUACUAUCAAUCUGAAACAUUGAUGUCUUUACUGCUGCUGGUUCAAACCUAUGCACUAGUUCACUCUGUUGCUCCUCAUUAAGCACCACCCCAUGACUCAUCAAUUCUCCUAUUGCUGGUAUUCUCUGCAGGGACUUCUUUCCCAGGAUAUCCUCAUAAUAUUCCACAAUUACUUUUGCAAUACUAGUAGGAUCAUAUUGCCAUUCUCCUGAUGAAUUUUUCAGUUGAGUUGUAGCAUGCUUCAGCUUCCUAUGCUUAAUAACUGAAUAAAAGUACCUAGUAUUAUCAUCACCCAACCUUAUCCAUGUUGCUUUGCUCCUUUGUUGUAAAAAUACUUCAGCCAGAUAAGAAGAGGUUCUAAAUUUCUCAUACAACUGGCUUUCCAACUGUUGAUAAUCCAAGUUGUGCGGGUUACUCUGCAAUUGUAGUUGUGCUUGUUUCCGUUUUUCUCUAUCUCCAUUGGCUUCAUUCACUAUGUUCUGGAAAGACUGUGAGUGUAGCACCUUCAGCUUUCUCUUUAACAACUUCAAUCUUCUCACCACUUUGUACAUCAUACAACCUUCUAUAUUUUCAUCCCAUCCUUCAUUCACAACAGAUUGGAAUUGUCAACGUUUGGCCCGCACAUUACAAAACUGAAAUGGCUUCCUGGUUCUGCAUUCUUCUGUUAAGAUUACUUUUGCUGGACAGUGGUCACUAAUGUUAAGAAUUCAUCACCAACUUAAUUCUUUACUUAAGAUAAAUCAAGAAAAAUCUAGAAUAUUCCGGAGGUGUAGAGAAUUGAAGGAAGAUCUCUAGAAUGAGUAUUCUAGAAAGAAUAGUCUAGAAAUGUUCUAGAAAGAAUAGUUCUAGAAAAAGAUAGUUAGGAAUAUUCUAGAAUAGAGUAGUAUGUAUCUCUCUAGAUUCUUCCAUCACCUCCUAUAAAUAGAGGUGGUCCAUUUGAGUUGUACGCAAUCAAGAAAGAAAGCAAGAAACAAAGUAAGAAAGCAAGAAAGAAAGUAAGAGAGAAAACAAGAGUGAGUGCUAAGUCAAGAGUGUUGCUGAAGCAAGCAACAAGUGUGAUCAAGAUUGUAAGACCGAAGCGGGUCCUUACUUUGAUAUAAUAAAAUUCAAGUUGUGAGAAAUCNNNNNNNNNNNNNNNNNNNNNNNNNNNNNNNNNNNNNNNNNNNNNNNNNNNNNNNNNNNNNNNNNNNNNNNNNNNNNNNNNNNNNNNNNNNNNNNNNNNNNNNNNNNNNNNNNNNNNNNNNNNNNNNNNNNNNNNNNNNNNNNNNNNNNNNNNNNNNNNNNNNNNNNNNNNNNNNNNNNNNNNCCAUUUGAGUUGUAAGCAAUCAAGAAAGAAAGCAAGAAACAAAGCAAGAAAGCAAGAAAGAAAGUAAGAGAGAAAACAAGAGUGAGUGCUAAGUCAAGAGUGUUGCUGAAGCAAGCAACAAGUGUGAUCAAGAUUGUAAGACCGAAGCGGGUCCUUACUUUGAUAUAAUAAAAUUCAAGUUGUGAGAAAUCGAUUGUGCCCGUCGUCUCCAAACCAAUAAUAUUCAACAAUUAAUACCCUCAGGUAAGAAUAACGCCUUACAUGUAGGCAUUGCAUCUAGCCAUUCUCUGUUAAUAAAAAUCCAAUCAAUUUUUGAAAAUUUUUUGUUUCCAUCAUGUUUAUCACUCCACGUAUAUCUACUACCAUGAGUAGGAAAUUCUAUCAAACCACAUUCAAGAACACAUUCAUUGAACUCCAUAAUUUCUGCCCAAACUACUGGAUUUCCUCCUAUUCUAUCAUCAGUCUUCAGUAGGGAAUUGAAGUCACCUAACACCAUCCAUGGUUUUGUACAUUUUAGACUUUGGAGUAUCAGACUUUCCCAUAAAUCCCUCCUAUCUUCCCUGCUAUUAAAAGCAUACACAUAUGUUAUCUCAAAGGAGAGUUGAAGUGGGAUAAACACUACCUCACAUGUUAUCAGUUGUGUUGUUUUGUUGAUGGGUUUUACACAAUAGUAGUCAGGAUUCCAUGUCAGCCAUAUUCUACCAUUGUAGUGAUUUUCCAAGUUGGUAGUGUACUACCAACCUGCAAACAUACUCGCAGCCACAAGUUCUAUUCUUCCACUCUUUAUUUUAGUUUCUAGUAAGCCAACCAGACUCACAUUUUCUUCAUUGCAAAGGAUCUUCACUUCCUUUUGCUUAUUGGGAGCGUUAAGCCCCCUUACAUUCCAGCUAGUAAAUUAACCACCAGACCCUAUUAUGGCCUGGCCACCCAUAAUCACUCUACUCCUUCCUUUUUCAUUAUUGUUCUGCAAUAUUUGAUAGGAAUUUGCACUUUCAAUCUGAGUUGAUCUUCUUGGAGGUGAUAUCUUCCCUGCUCGUGUAGGAGUUUGCCAUCCUUCCUUUCUACUGUUUAUCUCUUCAUCACUCUGUUUUGCUCUAGUGUUACUCACUAUCACUAUCCCUUCUUGUCGUGCUACAACUACUUUAGCUAGUUGUUGAUUAGGACUAUUUUGUACCUGUACAUUUACCCUGUCUUGUGGCAAUGGAACAGGUUUGGGAACCUUUCUCUUCACUCUACAUACCUCCUCCUCAUGACCAUAUUUAUUACAAAACUUGCAUAGUGUUGGUUUCCAAUCAUACUGAACCUGAUGCACAAUGAUUUUCCCUUUUUCAUUGAUUGUUAUUUCGGCUUAAUUUAUCUUGAUGAAUUCAUUGCGUGUGAUUUCCUGAAGAAGUAUAUUUUGUGGAUUCACAGUGAUUUGUGAAGUUGAGUGGUUUUGGACUUUCUGACUAACUUCUAGUCAUAUGCACUUAGAAGGAUACCAGGUAUCAGGUAUUUAAGUCGAGAUUACACUAAACAAUGAGGUGAUAUUUUUUAUCAGAUCAUUCGUACUAGAUUUUAGAAUACUUAUAUAUGUAAUCUAAUUAAAUGUUUUCUUAGCCCCCAUAGUAUAUCAAUUAAUAACAUUUUGAGUCCUAUAUUUAUCUUUUCUUUAUUUGUCCAUUUUCAUCACAUUUGUUUUAAUAUUUUUAUAUCUAUAACUCAUUUAUUUAUUUUCUACUCUUCUAUUUUCAUCUAUAUAAACUCAUAUUUUUGGUUUCAUAUGAUUCUAUCCAAGGAGCAAUCCUAUUAGAACGUGGAAAAGGAAUCCUUUUACAAUGACAAAACCAACAAAAAAAAGUAGUCCAAUUCUAUUAGGAAUCAAAUUCUAUUUCUUCAACUAUAAAAUAACUAGUUCGUUCCCCGGAACAAGCUUUCAUUAUGUUCUUUCUCUGGAUCACAGCCUACCAAACUAAAGUGACUUUGUUUGAUUUACUGCAAUCUGUCUUGCAAUGGAGGAAAUACUUAUAGACAUUUUGAAAAGGCCACUGGUGAAGUCACUUAUUCGUUUCAAUUGCGUCUCAAACUUUUGGAACACAUUAAUCUCUCAACCUUAUUUUAAGAAGAAGCAUCUCAAUCAUUCCAAAAGUCAAGUCAGUUCCCAAAAAUUGCUUUUUGUCCGGUGCGAUCCUAACUGUCAAUUCUGGUCUGGUUCCUUAUCCUUAAUUCCCAUUGAUUGCACUUCAAAUUCUAAUCCAAAAGAUGGUAUAAAAAUGUAUUCUAGUUGUGACGGCUUGUUUCUCAUCGGAAUUUGGACCGACCGUUAUGCCGAACAACCUUCCAUAUUAGUCAUAUGGAACCCUUCCACUAGACAAUCAAUAUGACUUCCCCAUUCUAAAUUUUCACUUCAGAUGGGAGAUCAACAUCACAAUCACAAUGAACAUAUAGAAAAUGACAACGAAAAUAUGGGAAAUUACUCUAAUAGUAUCAGUGAUGAUGAUGAUGAUAGGGGAUUUACUUAUGGAUUGGCUUAUGACUCUAAAAAUCAUGAACAGAUAGAAGAUGACGAUGAAAAGAUGGGAAAUUACUCUAAUAGUAUCAGUGACGAUGAUGAUGAUGAUGAUGAUAGGGGAUCUACUAAUGGAUUGGCUAAUAAUGACUCUAAAAAUUCAUGAACAGAUAGAAGAUGACGAUGAAAAGAUGGGAAAUUACUCUAGUAGUAUCAGUGAUUAUGAUGAUGAUAGGGGAACUACUUAUGGAUUGGCUUAUGACUCUAAACGUGAAGAUUAUAAAGUCUUAAUGAUUGACAUGUGUGGGAAUAACGACAAUGAAAUUCUCGCACUGAAAAAUGGUUCCUGGAAAAUAAUUGAUCGUAAAACCUCUGGCAGGACAGAUAGUGGUUUGUUGUGUGGUGGAGAACUUUUUGGCAUUUGUAGAUGGAGCAUUUCAUUGGCUUGGUUUCUUAUCAAAGGUUUGUGUGGUUUCAUUUAAUAUUUCAGAUGAAAUAUACGGAGAGAUAUCAUUGCCAGAGAUAGUAAGCUCCGAACUCACUCUAUUCAAGUUUGAUAACGUUGAAGUUCAUGUGGGACUAUCAAUAUUGAGAGAAAUGUUUCAUCGACAAAGAUUUUAGUUUAUGGGUAAUGAAAAAGUAUGAUAUUGAAGAUUCUUGGAUGAAAUUGUUCACUAUACCGAUUUUAGUUUAUGGGUAAUGAAAAAGUAUAAUAUUGAAGAUUCUUGGAUGAAAUUGUUCACUAUACCGAUGAAGUAUUACUGUGAAUUGGGUGACACCGGAACAUGUGGAAACAUCAUAGGUAUGUAAGAUAAUAUCUGGUGGCCAAUAUCGAAUGAUUUCUCAAGAUUAUGAUAUUGAUGCGAUUACAGUUAAUCGGGAGGGUUUUGCUUAUACCGAAACUCUCACGGACAUUAAAUUAUAUUAAAUGUUUAGGAAAUUUUUGGUUCCAAAUUGAUCUUGUUUUUUUUUAUUUACUAUUCUUUGCUAAGAAAGAAUUGAUCUAUAUUUUUCUUUUACCUGCUGUUUCUCUGCUGCUUUUAUCCGUAUGAAAGUUCCUUUUUUGUCGGGGAUUGUUUGAGUGAUUAGGAAAAAUAAUGUAUGCAUUAAUUUUGUGUAUUAUUAGUAUUUUGCGUGGUACUCUUUCAUAAUCUAUGUAUUAAUAGUUCCUUCUUUGUCUGGGAUCGUUUGAGUUAUUAGGAAAAAUAAUGCAUGCGUUAAUUUUGUUUAUUAUUAGUACCUUGUUUGGUUCUCUUUCCUAAUCUAUGUAUUAGUUAUUGUGUAUUAAGGUGGGCAUAUAUCAUGGAUUUCUAGGUAUUAGCAAUGCAAUGGUUUUUAUGCAUGCAUUAACUUAAUUAAAGACUCAAUGACCCCUCAAAACUUUUUUUACAUCUUUUCCACCAUAAUUGUGGAGGGCUUUGUGAAUAACGUUUAAUGUAAUUUUUCAACGAUACUCAUAAAACUAGAAUUCAACUUUAAGUAUACAAUGUAAUUUUUCGACGAAGGGAGUUCGAGUGACCCUCUUGAGCUCCACAUAGCUCCGACCCUGAGCCCAGGUUGAGCGCUUCACCUUGCUUAAUUAGCGUGUUAGUGUAGCUUGUAGAAGCCAAGGUGUUAAGGCAUGUGCACCUUCACCAACGAGUUCUGCCUUUGAGAAUACAACAACAUACCCAGUGUGUUCCUACAAGUGAGAUACAACACCAUAUAUAUAGUUAUAUUAUAGUUUUACCACUCUUUUGUCCGAAUAGUUAUUAUCUGUUUUUGUAGAUACAUAUUCUUGCAUUACAUUUGUAUUUUUUAUUUUCUCACUUGGCAUUUUUUCCCCAUAAAGUCCACACUUUAAUGGCACUUUGCACUUAACGGUUCAACUAUACUGGACUUCUUUACACACAUAUAUAUGGAGGUUGUAUUUUGUCUACAAACUAUAUAUAUAUAUAUAGUUAAAGGUAGGUACACCUUUUGAAAGCUAUUUUACAAUACUUAUUAGUAACAUAUUCAGUGUAAUAUCACUAAGUGUAGUCUGGAGAUAGUAGAGUGUUAACCUUCCUUUAAAUCAUUUCUAUUCAAUAUAUAGGGAUGUCAAGAAAAAUAAAAUAGCAGAGAGAAGGAAUAAUAACAAAAUAAGAAGCUUCAUACAACUUAAAUAUUGUGUUUCUUCUACAUAUGUUGAACACCUUGACAAAAUGAGAUACUUUGUUACAAUUGCCUCAACAUAUUGAUAAUUUGAGAAUUUCCAUGUGGUAGUUUCCCUUUUCCCUUUUGAGAAAAAAAGAAGUUAAAAUAAUUAAGGACUAUGAGGAUUUCUUUAAAUCCUCAGAGUCAAGGAAUGUUUCAAAUCUCCUAUAUGUAGCACAUGUAAUCCUAAAGCAACUUUCCUGUUUCCAACUUCAUCAACUACACUCAAAUGCUUGCAAACAUCUAAGUUGAACUUAACAACUCCUUCACUCUGUGGUGUCAAAUGAAUCUUUUGGAAAUCCAACAAGUGCUUUUGAGGUGCAUUGUGGACUGAGGGUGGUGAAGUGAACAACAAAACAGUGUGGCUUCCUCUCAUUUUCCCAACAUUUUGAACUUUCAAGUGGAUAUCAAAUCCCAAGUUGUUGCAGCCUUGCUCAUUAACAGAAUCAAUAGACUUGCACUUUGUCGAUCGACAAGCAUGUCCUUCCUCAAGAGGAAUGGACACAAAUUUUGGUGCUUUUACCAGGUGGUG
RNAcentral lists this long non-coding RNA (11266 nucleotides) under Solanum tuberosum (potato). Its description in RNAcentral is "long non-coding RNA (STUB_LNC002380)". The record is from RNAcentral. Lineage: Eukaryota; Viridiplantae; Streptophyta; Magnoliopsida; Solanales; Solanaceae.